RNAcentral lists this ribosomal RNA (467 nucleotides) under uncultured bacterium. Its description in RNAcentral is "partial 16S ribosomal RNA". It matches the Rfam family "Bacterial small subunit ribosomal RNA", at positions 28 to 507 of the family's 1533-position model. The record is from RNAcentral.
GAUGAACGCUGGCGGCGUGCUUAACACAUGCAAGUCGAACGGAAAGGCCCAAGCUUGCUUGGGUACUCGAGUGGCGAACGGGUGAGUAACACGUGGGUGAUCUGCCCUGCACUUCGGGAUAAGCCUGGGAAACUGGGUCUAAUACCGGAUAGGACCACUUCUUGGAUGUUGUGGUGGAAAGUUUUUUCGGUGUGGGAUGAGCUCGCGGCCUAUCAGCUUGUUGGUGGGGUAAUGGCCUACCAAGGCGUCGACGGGUAGCCGGCCUGAGAGGGUGUACGGCCACAUUGGGACUGAGAUACGGCCCAGACUCCGACGGGAGGCAGCAGUGGGGAAGAUUGCACAAUGGGCGCAAGCCUGAUGCAGCGACGCCGCGUGGGGGAUGACGGCCUUCGGGUUGUAAACUCCUUUCGCUAGGGACGAAGCGUUUUGUGACGGUACCUGGAGAAGAAGCACCGGCUAACUACGUG